RNAcentral lists this ribosomal RNA (492 nucleotides) under uncultured bacterium. Its description in RNAcentral is "partial 16S ribosomal RNA". It matches the Rfam family "Bacterial small subunit ribosomal RNA", at positions 29 to 507 of the family's 1533-position model. The record is from RNAcentral.
AGUGAACGCUGGCGGUAGGCCUAACACAUGCAAGUCGAACGGCAGCACAGUAAGAGCUUGCUCUUACGGGUGGCGAGUGGCGGACGGGUGAGGAAUACAUCGGAAUCUACUUUUUCGUGGGGGAUAACGUAGGGAAACUUACGCUAAUACCGCAUACGACCUACGGGUGAAAGCAGGGGAUCUUCUGACCUUGCGCGAUUGAAUGAGCCGAUGUCGGAUUAGCUAGUUGGCGGGGUAAAGGCCCACCAAGGCGACGAUCCGUAGCUGGUCUGAGAGGAUGAUCAGACACACUGUAACUGAGACACGGUCCAGACUCCUACGGGAGGCAGCAGUGGGGAAUAUUGGACAAUGGGCGCAAGCCUGAUCCAGCCAUACCGCGUGGGUGAAGAAGGCCUUCGGGUUGUAAAGCCCUUUUGUUGGGAAAGAAAAGCAGCAGGUUAAUACCCCGCUGUUCUGACGGUACCCAAAGAAUAAGCACCGGCUAACUUCGUG